AGAUUAAAUAAAAAAUAGGCUUCUAACCUAUUAAUAAUGAUUUAUUCAUUUUAAUCUU
Molecule: transfer RNA, 58 nt
Filed under: Amblyomma sp.
Lineage: Eukaryota; Metazoa; Arthropoda; Arachnida; Ixodida; Ixodidae
Description: tRNA-Ser
Source: RNAcentral